Molecule: long non-coding RNA, 357 nt
Organism: Oncorhynchus tshawytscha (Chinook salmon)
Lineage: Eukaryota; Metazoa; Chordata; Actinopteri; Salmoniformes; Salmonidae
Source: Ensembl
CUGGUGGUGGUGGUGUGGUUAGGGGGUAUGACUCCUCCCCAGGGUGGUGGUGGGGUUAGGGGUAUGACUCCUCCCCAGGGUGGUGGUGGGGUUAGGGGGUAUGACUCCUCCCCAGGGUGGUGGUGGUGGUGGUGGUGUGGUUAGGGGGUGUGACUCCUCCCAGGGGUGGUGGUGGGGUUAGGGGGUAUGACUCCUCCCCAGGGUGGUGGUGGGGUUAGGGGUAUGACUCCUCCCCAGGGUGGUGGUGGUGGUGGUGUGGUUAGGGGGUGUGACUCCUCCCCAGGGUGGUGGUGGGGUUAGGGGGUAUGACUCCUCCCCAGGGUGGUGGGGGUGGGGUUAGAGGUUAUGACUCCUCCC